UGCUUAAAAAUGCAGAGUCAAAGUUAAAUCUCCCUUUCCGAAUUUCGUCUCUAAACACAAAACCCUACAUUUUCAAUGGAGAACGAAGGAAGCAGCAGCAACAGCAAUGAAGUCCCGCCAUCUCAACCGCUACAGUCUCUCUCCAUUUCGCCUCAGCCGCAAUUGAGCUUGAAGGAGAGGUACGAUUUGGUAAGGAGCAUUGGCGAGGAGUGCAUACAGGAGGAUGAAUUGGAGCGAUUGUUGGCGAACAAGCCUAACAUUGUUUGCUAUGAUGGAUUUGAACCGUCUGGAAGAAUGCAUAUUGCUCAGGGAGUUAUGAAGGCAAUUAAUGUCAAUAAACUGACUUCCGCGGGAUGCAAAGUGAAGAUAUGGAUUGCAGAUUGGUUCGCACAGCUGAACAACAAAAUGGGCGGUGACUUGAAAAAGAUACAAGUGAUAGGGCAGUACCUGAUUGAGAUCUGGAAAGCUGUAGGGAUGAACAUUGAAGGAGGCCAGGUGGAGUUUCUAUGGUCUUCUGAAGAGAUCAACUCCCGGGCUCAUGAGUACUGGCCCCUUGUGAUGGACAUAGCCAGGAGAAACAAGCUUCCUAGGGUGCUGCGGUGCUGCCAAAUUAUGGGCCGCUCCGAGCAAGAUGAAUUGUCAGCAGCCCAGAUAUUCUAUCCGUGCAUGCAAUGUGCUGAUAUAUUCUUCCUUAAGGCUGACAUCUGCCAGUUGGGUAUGGACCAGCGCAAAGUAAAUAUGUUGGCUAGGGAGUAUUGCGAUGACAUCAAAAGAAAAAACAAGCCUAUCAUACUGUCUCAUCAUAUGCUCCCUGGGCUGCAGGAAGGACAGGAGAAGAUGUCGAAGAGUGAUCCUUCUUCUUCUAUCUUCAUGGAGGAUGAAGAGGCUGAUGUAAAUCUGAAGAUAAAAAAAGCCUUCUGCCCUCCAAAAGUGGUGGAAAAGAACCCGUGCUUGGAGUACAUCAAAUAUAUUGUUAUCCCAUGGUUCAAUGAGUUCACAGUUGAGCGGAAACCAGAUAAUGGGGGUGAUAAGACUUUCAAGAGUUUCGAAGAUUUAGUUGCUGACUAUGAAAGUGGACAGCUGCAUCCUGGAGAUCUCAAGCCAGCUCUUGCAAAAGCACUAAACCGGAUACUGCAGCCGGUACGUGAUCAUUUCAUCAACGAUCCGAAGGCUAAGGAUCUACUGAAAAGGGUGAAGGGUUACAAGGUAACCAGAUGAUCUUGAGAAAGCAAAACCACAGUCUUCCGAAGAGGAUUGCAAACUUUUGGUCUUUAUUAUCACAAUAGCAAUGCCACCAAGCUGAGUCUUUAAAACAAUCCUCAGGAGCAAAUGACAACAUCUUUUGCUGCAAAUCAUACACAAAUCUGAUAUUCCUCUGCUGAAAUACCCCCAAAAUGGAUAUAGUUUUCGACUCCAACGCCAUAAAAUCGAACACAUUCUUCUCCAAAAAGAUGAACAGAUUUGUCGGCGCUGCCGCCACCAAAUCAGCCCCUUAAAAUGAAACACCAUCGUCGGUAGACUCGGCCGCGUCAUUGCAUAACUAAAACAGAUAUAUGUGUCCGGAACAUCCGCCGAGUUGUCGAGUAUACCGCUGACCUCUGGCAGGUAAGGCCCGCCGUUGGAGGUCCCGCAGCCGAAAACGAUGUUCUUCACGGAUGCGGGCCGUUUCAAACUGCUGUCGAACGUGAAUGUUUCGGUUGCGGCAGGGCCCUUCGAGAACUGGCCGCUGUAGUAGCUGGUGGAGUAGCUGCAGCCGCUACCGAAGAAAGAGCACUGGAAGCGUUUGGCGAGGGGGUGUUUUUUGCUGAUCGGCUUGUAGCUGCUCGACUUAUUCGGUUCGAAGACGGGGUCGUUCUGCUUAAAGCAGCGCGUGCAGGGGCUGCAUUGCAUCCACGUGAGGCCGCUGCCGGUGUCGAAGACGAGAGUCCUCUUGACGGCGGGAGCUUCAAGGUGAAGGCCGACGAGGACGUCGGCCGUCGUAGGAACAAGAGGGCGAAGAAGAGGAAGAAGAUGUUGAUUGAAGGCAUUAUGGUUAAGAUGAUGGGAGAGGAAAUCUAAUUUCUACUUAUAUGGAGAAGUGUGGGAAUAGAUGUUGUUUUGAGUAAUUGUGAUGUGCCUAUUUUGCUUCCUUUUUCUUUUUGUAUGUGAUCUGUUAUUUAUUUCUUAGGUUCAAAUGAGAAAUUGGAUAUUUGGUUAUGUGAUUAGUCUCAACAAGGAAUUAUGUAUUUACACAUGGAGCUUAGA
RNA transcript from Salvia splendens (bonfire salvia), 2244 nucleotides. It is a transcript of the gene named tyrosine--tRNA ligase 1, cytoplasmic, with no coding region annotated. The transcript has 11 exons. NCBI's taxonomy places the organism in Eukaryota, Viridiplantae, Streptophyta, Magnoliopsida, Lamiales, Lamiaceae. The record is from RefSeq and is a predicted model, not a curated record.